Molecule: non-coding RNA, 46 nt
Filed under: Schistosoma mattheei
Lineage: Eukaryota; Metazoa; Platyhelminthes; Trematoda; Strigeidida; Schistosomatidae
Source: RNAcentral
GUACUGCUGAAGAGUCCCAUACAAGGAUGAAACGGUCGUUCAGUAU